This 220-nucleotide long non-coding RNA is filed under the name Theobroma cacao (cacao). RNAcentral describes it as "long non-coding RNA (TCAC_LNC006418)". Lineage: Eukaryota; Viridiplantae; Streptophyta; Magnoliopsida; Malvales; Malvaceae. The record is from RNAcentral.
AUCUCUCCAAAUAUUCGGCCAAGCAAGGAAAAGAAGGAAACAAAAGAAGAACAAACCCUAGGUGGAGAAUUUCAAGAGAAAAAGUGUGGAAAAUCAAGGAAAACAAGUGAAAAAGGUAGGAUUUUUCAAUUUAAACUUGAAACCUAUUUUCCUUAAGCAUUUCUCCUUAUUUUCCAUGGUUAAAUUACAUGUUUUCAUGAUGAAUUCAUGGCUGGUCAAA